GCGGGGGUGGCCGAGUUGGUCAAAGGCGCAGGAUUGAGGGUCCUGUGGCUUAGUGCCUGCGUGGGUUCAAAUCCCAUCCCCCGCA
RNAcentral lists this transfer RNA (85 nucleotides) under Thermoplasmata archaeon. RNAcentral describes it as "tRNA-Leu". It matches the Rfam family "tRNA". Rfam says of the family: Transfer RNA (tRNA) molecules are approximately 80 nucleotides in length. Their secondary structure includes four short double-helical elements and three loops (D, anti-codon, and T loops). The record is from RNAcentral. RNAcentral also lists the same sequence under 2 other names. Lineage: Archaea; Methanobacteriati; Thermoplasmatota; Thermoplasmata.